UGAGGAAUUUUGCGCAAUGGGAGCAAUCCUGACGCAGCAACGCCGCGUGGGUGAUGACGGCCUUCGGGUCGUAAAGCCCUGUCAGGUGGGAAGAAUGUCCAGGGAUUGAACAGGAUUUGGGAGUGACGGUACCACCAGAGGAAGCACCGGCUAACUCCGUGCCAGCAGCCGCGGUAAUACGGAGGGUGCAAGCGUUAUUCGGAAUCACUGGGCGUAAAGCUCGUGUAGGCGGUCCUGCAAGUCUGAUGUGAAAGCCACUGGCUUAACCCUGGAAGUGCAUGGGAAACUGUGGGUCUUGAGUGCUGGAGAGGAUGGGGGAAUUCCCGGUGUAGGGGUGAAAUUCGUAGAGAUCGGGAGGAAUAUCAGUGGCGAAGGCGCCCAUCUGGACGGUAACUGACGCUGAGACGCGAAAGCGUGGGGAGCAAACA
RNAcentral lists this ribosomal RNA (428 nucleotides) under uncultured prokaryote. RNAcentral's name for it is "bacterial SSU rRNA". It matches the Rfam family "Bacterial small subunit ribosomal RNA", at positions 355 to 774 of the family's 1533-position model. The record is from RNAcentral.